Molecule: ribosomal RNA, 506 nt
Filed under: Fusarium sp. HF-07
Lineage: Eukaryota; Fungi; Ascomycota; Sordariomycetes; Hypocreales; Nectriaceae
Description: eukaryotic LSU rRNA
Rfam family: 5.8S ribosomal RNA (bases 124-277)
Source: RNAcentral
CAUACCUAUCGUUGCUUCGGCGGGAUGCCCCAGUUUGACUUAAAACUGGACCCAGGCGCCCGCCGGAGGACCCAAACUCUUGUUUUUAUAUGUAUCUUCUGAGUAAACAAGCAAAUAAAUUAAAACUUUCAACAACGGAUCUCUUGGUUCUGGCAUCGAUGAAGAACGCAGCGAAAUGCGAUAAGUAAUGUGAAUUGCAGAAUUCCGUGAAUCAUCGAAUCUUUGAACGCACAUUGCGCCCGCCAGUAUUCUGGCGGGCAUGCCUGUUCGAGCGUCAUUUCAACCCUCAAGCCCCCGGGCUUGGUGUUGGGGCUCGGCCCGUCCCUAGCGGAUGCGCCGUCCCCGAAAUCUAGUGGCGGUCUCGCUGCAGCCUCCUCUGCGUAGUAGCUAACACCUCGCAAUGGGAACGCAGCGCGGCCACGCCGUUAAACCCCCCACUUCUGAAGGUUGACCUCGGAUCAGGUAGGAAUACCCGCUGAACUUAAGCAUAUCAAUAAGCGGAGGAA